CCUGCCCACUGAUUAAUUAAAUGGCCGCAGUAAUUUGACUGUGCAAAGGUAGCAUAAUCAUUAGUUUUUUAAUUAAAAGCUUGUAUGAAGGGUUGGACGAGGUAAGAUCUGUCUCUAUUUAAUUUAUUAUAGAAUUUAAUUUUUAAGUUAAAAAGCUUAAAUUUUAAUAAAAGACGAGAAGACCCUAUAGAUCUUUAUAUUUAUAUUAUUAAUUUUAUUUAGGAUUAUUUUAUUUUUUAUUAAUUAAAAUAUUUUAUUGGGGUAAUAGAGAGAUUAGAUAAAUUCUUUUUUUUUAUUAUAUAGAUUAAUAAAUAUUUGAUCCAAUUAUUUUGAUUAUAAGAUUAAGUUACCUUAGGGAUAACAGCGUAAUUUUUUUAGAGAGUUCAUAUCGAUAAGAAAGUUUGCGACCUCGAUGUUGGAUUAAAAAUUAUUU
Molecule: ribosomal RNA, 433 nt
Filed under: Copelatus sp. MB 233
Lineage: Eukaryota; Metazoa; Arthropoda; Insecta; Coleoptera; Dytiscidae
Description: partial 16S ribosomal RNA
Source: RNAcentral